RNAcentral lists this ribosomal RNA (379 nucleotides) under uncultured bacterium. Its description in RNAcentral is "bacterial SSU rRNA". It matches the Rfam family "Bacterial small subunit ribosomal RNA", at positions 521 to 898 of the family's 1533-position model. The record is from RNAcentral.
UAAUACGUAGGUGGCAAGCGUUGUCCGGAAUUAUUGGGCGUAAAGCGCGCGCAGGCGGCUUCUUAAGUCUGAUGUGAAAUCUUGCGGCUCAACCGCAAGCGGUCAUUGGAAACUGGGAGGCUUGAGUGCAGAAGAGGAGAGUGGAAUUCCACGUGUAGCGGUGAAAUGCGUAGAGAUGUGGAGGAACACCAGUGGCGAAGGCGGUUCUCUGGUCUGUAACUGACGCUGAGGCGCGAAAGCGUGGGGAGCAAACAGGAUUAGAUACCCUGGUAGUCCACGCCGUAAACGAUGAGUGCUAAGUGUUAGAGGGUUUCCGCCCUUUAGUGCUGCAGCUAACGCAUUAAGCACUCCGCCUGGGGAGUACGGCCGCAAGGCUGAA